RNAcentral lists this ribosomal RNA (253 nucleotides) under uncultured bacterium. RNAcentral describes it as "partial 16S ribosomal RNA". It matches the Rfam family "Bacterial small subunit ribosomal RNA", at positions 524 to 776 of the family's 1533-position model. The record is from RNAcentral.
UACGUAGGGGGCAAGCGUUGUCCGGAUUUAUUGGGCGUAAAGCGCGUGUAGGCGGUCCGGUAAGUCCGCUGUGAAAGUCGGGGGCUCAACCCCCGGAUGCCGGUGGAUACUGUCGGGCUUGAGUACGGAAGAGGCGAGUGGAAUUCCUGGUGUAGCGGUGAAAUGCGCAGAUAUCAGGAGGAACACCAAUUGCGAAGGCAGCUCGCUGGGACGUUACUGACGCUGAGACGCGAAAGCGUGGGGAGCAAACAGG